Molecule: transfer RNA, 70 nt
Filed under: Marmota monax (woodchuck)
Lineage: Eukaryota; Metazoa; Chordata; Mammalia; Rodentia; Sciuridae
Description: tRNA.Ala
Source: RNAcentral
GGGGUUGUGGCUCAGGGGUAGAUUGCCUGCUUAGCAUGCAUGAGUUGCUGGGUUUGAUCCCCCAGCACCA